CCUACGGGAGGCAGCAGUGGGGGAUAUUGGACAAUGGGGGGAACCCUGAUCCAGCGACGCCGCGUGAGUGAAGAAGUAUCUCGGUAUGUAAAGCUCUAUCAGCAGGGAAGUAGAAAUGACGGUACCUGAGUAAGAAGCUCCGGCUAACUACGUGCCAGCAGCCGCGGUAGUACGUAGGGUGCAAGCGUUAUCCGGAAUUACUGGGUUUAAAGGGAGCGUAGACGGUGAUGUAAGUCUGGAGUGAAAGGAGGGGGCUCAACCCACGGAUUGCUCUUGAAACUAUGUGACUUGAGUGCAGGAGAGGUGAGCGGAAUUCGUGGUGUAGCGGUGAAAUGCGUAGAUAUUAGGAAGAACACCAGUGGCGAAGGCGGCUUACUGAACUGUAACUGACGUUGAGGCUCGAAAGCGUGGGGAGCAAACAGGAUUAGAUACCCUUGUAGUC
Molecule: ribosomal RNA, 442 nt
Filed under: uncultured bacterium
Lineage: Bacteria
Description: partial 16S ribosomal RNA
Rfam family: Bacterial small subunit ribosomal RNA
Source: RNAcentral